GCCCGGGUGGCUCAGUCGGUUGGGCGUCUGACUUGGGCUCAGGUCAUGGGUUCGAGCCCCGUGUCGGGCU
Acinonyx jubatus (cheetah) is the source of this 70-nucleotide non-coding RNA. Lineage: Eukaryota; Metazoa; Chordata; Mammalia; Carnivora; Felidae. The record is from the annotation of a RefSeq genome assembly.